RNAcentral lists this long non-coding RNA (213 nucleotides) under Gallus gallus (chicken). The record is from RNAcentral. Lineage: Eukaryota; Metazoa; Chordata; Aves; Galliformes; Phasianidae.
GGGGAUCCUGGGGUUGGGGGUCCUGGGGCCGUCACUCCUGGGCCGGUGUCGCAGAGGUGCGUGGGGAGCUGGCAGCGAGGGACACGUGUGUGGUGGAGGAUGGCAGCGACCGUGGAGUCUGGCACCAGGAGCGGGACUUCCUCACCCGGGAGGCUGCCGGCCGCUCCAGGAUGCUGUCCAGGUGCAUCAGCCUCUCCAGGUGCAGAGCCCGUG